Long non-coding RNA from Neolamprologus brichardi, 2006 nucleotides. RefSeq lists it as uncharacterized. The record is from RefSeq and is a predicted model, not a curated record. NCBI's taxonomy places the organism in Eukaryota, Metazoa, Chordata, Actinopteri, Cichliformes, Cichlidae.
AAAAAAAAUCCCACCCUGCUACACCUUCGAUAAACACGCAGUUCGGAUUCUCCCAUCCAUCUCCCCAUGCGGAUCGAAGUCCCAUCCCCAUCACUACUGCAGGACCAACCAACUCUUCCACACCACUUUUGACGGACGCCCGUUUGGACCACAUGAGUUGGUUUUAUAAGCGGAAUGUGAGAUGAAGAAAUUUGCCAAGACGUUAUCGGACACGGGGGGCAACAGGGAUGCAGAAAGAGUCAUCAGCGUCAGGAAAUAUUCAAAGAAAGAAAAAGAAAACGAUGGAGGAUCAAGCUGCCGCCGUCUAUCACAAACAGGAUCCCGUCCUCGCUCGCUCCCUCGCCACAACUGGAUUUCUUCCCCGCUGUUCCUUCUUUGUCUUCCUCCUCCUGGCUACCCUUCCACUCCUCACCGACACAGAGAUGACAAAUGUAUACCCCCUCGAGCGUCUGAGACGUCCGCUGUCCGUCAAAACACGUCAACUUGACAAACUCGUCGCCGUCCAUCCGUCCGGCCUCGCGCUGGAAUUACUCUGAAUGAAUUUAACAGCAUCAAAAAGAGAACAAAGGAAGAAUGUAAAAUAACGGAGGAGCCCCUCUCCAGCUGAUGAUGAUGAUGAUGAUGAUUAUUUUUUCCUGAAAGUUUGGUUUUAUUUUGUGUUUUUUUUUGUUUAAUUAUUGUUUCAUUCUGUUUGCAUGUAAAGUAACAAGAGUUUUAUUUGAGCGAAUGCGAUGACGAGUGUGCACGUGGGUGUGUGCGUCUCUGUGAGUGGCAACGUCUUUGAAGUACUAUCAGUAAAUGUGUCUGUUUUCAUGCCACUGUGCAGGAGGAGGAGAUAACAGAGUUGUAUAGUUUUUGAUAUUAAAAAAAAACACAAAAAAUACUUUUUUCUUUCUUUUCUUUUUUUUUUUUUUGCUUUUUUGUGUUGUCUAAAAAGAAAAAAAAAAAGGAAAAACUUUGUAAGGUGUGUCGGUCAUGUUGUGCAAACUUUACUCAGCAACAGCAUUUGUUAAAACAACUUUCAUGGAAUCAUGGAAUCAUGGAAUCCGACCAAUUCCUGCUCCGGCUUGUGAAUGGACACAUGGAGACUACAGAGCUGCACAUGACUAACGGUCUCCCCGUGCGUACAAUCGCAUCAAUCUGGAGCUCGGAGCCCGUGACAAGUCGAGGAGGAAACGUUGGCGCCGUCUUCUCCACGUGGAUGUGGGGUGGGAGGGGAGAACAGAUUCUAAAUGACACACCUUUAAAGAAGCAAGUGGCGUGAGGAAUAUGGUGUCUCUGAGGGAGAACUGUUGAUGUUUUUUUUGUUUUUAAAUUUUGUUGUUGCUUUUUUUUUUUUUUUUUUUAAUAUUCAGACCACAACAUACAGUUACAGGUUUAACGAUGGAUAUUUUGCUCAUUUAUCUCUUUAAACUAUACUUAUGUGAAUGUUUUGAACUCGUAAGUGAUGCUUCAUGUAAUACGAAAGAAACACCUCCAUCCUUAAUACAGUUUCCUUUUUUCUUUUUCUUUUUUUUUUUUUUUAGCAGUGUGUUUUCGGAUGUUGGGGUUAUCUGUGGACAAAAGGACCUGUUUGGAAAUAUGCAAGACAUGCUGGGAAAGAGAAUGAAACUAGAAUGUACUGUAAAAUACUUUUUUCCUUUACUUAAAUGUCAGAUGAUUUAAAAAGAAAAAAAACAACAAAAAAAAAAAUCAACAACAAAAAGCAAGAGUUAAUGUUUGUCAUUGUAUGCCUUCCGAUGCCAUAUGAUCUAGCCAUGUAGAUCUAACAUUCUCUCAAUCUUUUUUUUGUACUUGUUUUUUGGGGGGGGGCAUGGUCAUGAUUUUUUUUUUCAGUUUUUUUUCUUUUGCUUUGUUUUUGUUUUGGUCAAUGAACUCUAGGUACAUGUAACUUAUGUCAUUUAUUUAUGUCCUUUUAUAUCUAGUUUGUAAAAUAAUAGCCUAAAGUGAAGAAAAAUAAUGGGGUGCCAAAGUGCAUUCUUAUUAAAGUAGAAAGUACAUGAUGA